This 497-nucleotide ribosomal RNA is filed under the name uncultured bacterium. Its description in RNAcentral is "partial 16S ribosomal RNA". It matches the Rfam family "Bacterial small subunit ribosomal RNA", at positions 28 to 507 of the family's 1533-position model. The record is from RNAcentral.
GAUGAACGCUGGCGGCGUGCCUAAUACAUGCAAGUCGAGCGAACAGAUGAGGAGCUUGCUCCUCUGACGUUAGCGGCGGACGGGUGAGUAACACGUGGAUAACCUACCUAUAAGACUGGGAUAACUUCGGGAAACCGGAGCUAAUACCGGAUAAUAUAUUGAACCGCAUGGUUCAAUAGUGAAAGACGGUUUUGCUGUCACUUAUAGAUGGAUCCGCGCCGCAUUAGCUAGUUGGUAAGGUAACGGCUUACCAAGGCAACGAUGCGUAGCCGACCUGAGAGGGUGAUCGGCCACACUGGAACUGAGACACGGUCCAGACUCCUACGGUGGGCAGCAGUAGGGAAUCUUCCGCAAUGGGCGAAAGCCUGACGGAGCAACGCCGCGUGAGUGAUGAAGGUCUUCGGAUCGUAAAACUCUGUUAUUAGGGAAGAACAAAUGUGUAAGUAACUAUGCACGUCUUGACGGUACCUAAUCAGAAAGCCACGGCUAACUACGUG